Rhinopithecus roxellana (golden snub-nosed monkey) is the source of this 1017-nucleotide long non-coding RNA. RefSeq lists it as uncharacterized. The transcript is spliced from 2 exons. NCBI's taxonomy places the organism in Eukaryota, Metazoa, Chordata, Mammalia, Primates, Cercopithecidae. The record is from RefSeq and is a predicted model, not a curated record.
GAGUGGAGCCACUGAUGAAGUUAAAACUGCCUCCUCCUUCAGGAAGAUUUUGCUCCCAUAGCUAGCGAACAGGGAGCGGAGCAGUGUCAGGAGGAUCUGCGGGCGCUGCUGCGGGCUUCUAUGCAGGGACAGUGCAGCAGGCAGCCUCUCAGGGCCAGGGGAAUUUCAGGACAGGGGUCAUCAGCAGCCCUGCGCAUUCUCCAUCCCUGGAUCGGCCCCUGCGCCUUGGCUCACCACCUAAGACUGAACAAGCACUAAACGACAGACCAGCCCCCUAACAGCUCACUCCGAAAAUAAGCAGGCCUCGUAGAGAAACGAUUUUUGUUGGAGCAUCCUGGUUUUGCCACCUGCUCACACCACUACCUGUCCUUCUCUCCAAGGAGGCUUCUGCCAGCCCUGCUUAUCCUUCCCUAGAAAAGGAAAGCCUUUUCCUGUUUGAUCCUGAGACACUUGCACAUUGAGUUUGGAAUGUUCUCCCUAUUGCAAUCGUCUUUUUGAAUAAGUUUUAUUUUUCCCUACCUCUGGUUGAUUUCUGAUUAAUACCAGUGAGCUUGGAUGAAAGCCUGCACACCUCAGGUGUGUGUGUGUGUGUGUGUGUGUGUGUGUGUGUGUGUGUGUGUGUAUUUUAGCAUUACCAUGAAGGCAAUAACAAUAAAAUCAAAGAAAAGCAAAUGGAUAAGCAAUAUGUUGGACUAACAUCUCAAAUCUGAAAAUGGCAUUGAUAUGAUUUAUUUUCAAAAUGGUAAGCUUUUUGAAGUAUAAUCUUAUUUUAACCUAAAAUCUUACUAUCAAAAAAUGCAAUGUACGUUAAAAUGUUCUGAAAUGCUUUUAUUCACAUUUAUUAAAUGGUCAUACUCACUCAGAUAUCUACAAAUUGGUUUUUCACUUAUGUAAUUGUCUUAUAGAAUAUUCAAAAGUCAUGCAGAAUGUGAGAUAAUUUUCUGUUGAAUAUGAUCGUUUUAUCAUUGCAAGACAUCAAACAUCCCUGUUUCCUGCCAAAUAAAUGUACAAUAGCAA